AGUAGUUUGAUCAUGGCUCAGAACACGCUGGCGGCAUGCCUAACACAUGCAAGUCGAACGAAGCCUUCGGGCUUAGUGGCGCACGGGUGCGUAACACGUGGGAAUCUGCCCUUCGGUUCGGAAUAACAGUUAGAAAUGACUGCUAAUACCGGAUGAUGACGUAAGUCCAAAGAUUUAUCGCCGAAGGAUGAGCCCGCGUAGGAUUAGGUAGUUGGUAGGGUAAUGGCCUACCAAGCCGACGAUCCUUAGCUGGUCUGAGAGGAUGAUCAGCCACACUGGGACUGAGACACGGCCCAGACUCCUACGGGAGGCAGCAGUGGGGAAUAUUGGACAAUGGGCGAAAGCCUGAUCCAGCAAUGCCGCGUGAGCGAUGAAGGCCUUAGGGUUGUAAAGCUCUUUUACCAGGGAUGAUAAUGACAGUACCUGGAGAAUAAGCUCCGGCUAACUCCGUG
This 452-nucleotide ribosomal RNA is filed under the name uncultured bacterium. RNAcentral describes it as "bacterial SSU rRNA". It matches the Rfam family "Bacterial small subunit ribosomal RNA", at positions 1 to 507 of the family's 1533-position model. The record is from RNAcentral.